AUUGAACGCUGGCGGCAUGCCUUACACAUGCAAGUCGAACGGUAACGGGCCUUCGGGUGCCGACGAGUGGCGAACGGGUGAGUAAUACAUCGGAACGUGCCCGAUCGUGGGGGAUAACGAGGCGAAAGCUUUGCUAAUACCGCAUACGAUCUACGGAUGAAAGCAGGGGACCGCAAGGCCUUGCGCGGACGGAGCGGCCGAUGGCAGAUUAGGUAGUUGGUGGGAUAAAAGCUUACCAAGCCGACGAUCUGUAGCUGGUCUGAGAGGAUGAUCAGCCACACUGGGACUGAGACACGGCCCAGACUCCUAAGGGAGGCAGCAGUGGGGAAUUUUGGACAAAGGGCGCAAGCCUGAUCCAGCCAUGCCGCGUGCAGGAUGAAGGCCUUCGGGUUGUAAACUGCUUUUGUACGGAACGAAAAGCCUUCUUUUAAUACAGGAGGGUCAUGACGGUACCGUAAGAAUAAGCACCGGCUAACUACGUG
RNAcentral lists this ribosomal RNA (482 nucleotides) under uncultured bacterium. RNAcentral's name for it is "partial 16S ribosomal RNA". It matches the Rfam family "Bacterial small subunit ribosomal RNA", at positions 30 to 507 of the family's 1533-position model. The record is from RNAcentral.